Long non-coding RNA from Carcharodon carcharias (great white shark), 282 nucleotides. RefSeq lists it as uncharacterized. The record is from RefSeq and is a predicted model, not a curated record. The transcript is spliced from 2 exons. Lineage: Eukaryota; Metazoa; Chordata; Chondrichthyes; Lamniformes; Lamnidae.
UUAUUUACUUGGUAUUCAAAACUUACCAGAUUUGACACGUCAGCUUCAAUUUCUGUUUGGUAAUGAUAUUUAUGCCACCACCAAUUGCACAAGUACUCUGAAGCUUAAUGAUGAAUUGCAUGGAGCAUAAACAAGAGUGCGACAAAUAUGUCGAGGGCUUUUCAAAGCUGAACUAGAAUUAUAAGCUUCAAGUUUUGUUCCAUUUUAAACUCAAUCUUUUUUGUGGAUUCUAUUUGAUCAUAUCAAUAUUUGUUGCUUGGAUAAAAAACUUGCAUAGUGUCA